This 74-nucleotide transfer RNA is filed under the name archaeon. Its description in RNAcentral is "tRNA-Ile". It matches the Rfam family "tRNA". From Rfam's summary of the family: Transfer RNA (tRNA) molecules are approximately 80 nucleotides in length. Their secondary structure includes four short double-helical elements and three loops (D, anti-codon, and T loops). Further hydrogen bonds mediate the characteristic L-shaped molecular structure. tRNAs have two regions of fundamental functional importance: the anti-codon, which is responsible for specific mRNA codon recognition, and the 3' end, to which the tRNAs corresponding amino acid is attached (by aminoacyl-tRNA synthetases). tRNAs cope with the degeneracy of the genetic code in two manners: having more than one tRNA (with a specific anti-codon) for a particular amino acid; and 'wobble' base-pairing, i.e. permitting non-standard base-pairing at the 3rd anti-codon position. The record is from RNAcentral. RNAcentral also lists the same sequence under 2 other names.
GGGCCUGUAGCUUAGUUUGGUGGAGCAUCCGACUGAUAAUCGGAAGGUCUUCGGUUCAAAUCCGAACAGGCCCA